GGCAGUGUAGUAUAAUGGUUAAGGAUCUGGGCUUGUAACUCAGAGGUUGCAGGUUCGAUUCCCUGAUGUGGCACUGGCG
This 79-nucleotide transfer RNA is filed under the name Anguilla anguilla (European eel). RNAcentral's name for it is "tRNA-OTHER". The record is from RNAcentral. Lineage: Eukaryota; Metazoa; Chordata; Actinopteri; Anguilliformes; Anguillidae.